CUUGCGGCGGGGAGGUCAAAGGUCAGAGGUAAAGAAGUCAUGGCGGCUCUGUGUCGGACCCGUGCUGUGGCUGCCGAGAGCCAUUUUCUGCGAGUGUUUCUCUUCCCCAGGCCCUUUCGGGGCGUAGGCACUGAGAGUGGAUCCGAAAGUGGUAGUUCCAAUGCCAAGGAGCCUAAGACGCGCGUAGGCGGUUUCGCGAGCGCGUUGGAGCGGCACUCGGAGCUUCUGCAGAAGGUGGAGCCCGGGCGGGGUUCUCCAAAAAAUGUGGAAUCCUUUGCAUCUAUGCUGAGACGUUCUCCUCUUACACAGAUGGGACCUGCAAAGGAUAAACUGGUCAUUGGACGGAUCUUUCAUAUUGUGGGGAAUGAUCUUUACAUAGAUUUUGGUGGAAAGUUUCAUUGUGUAUGUAGAAGACCAGAAGUGGAUGGAGAGAAAACAAAAGCUGCCAGACUUCAGUUUUCAUUUAAUUGGUCAGACCUAUGCAACAUAUCUAGCCUCUCCCUAACUGCAGGGAAGGCUCUGAAAACCAGCGUUUAACUUUUUCAUUGUGGCUGCUUCAGAGGAGAAGGGGACUGGGAAUAUAACUCUUGUGUCACCUAGCCAGUGGGUUCUGCUGCUGUGCCUGAGCUCCCACCACUAUUAAGUGGCAAAGCUGGAAUUCUAACUCAGAUGUCUCUUCCUCCAAAGGCCUAAUUCUCCAAUUCUGCCUCUCAAAGAAUAAAGGCUCCCAUAUUAUAAAGAUUUGAAUGAACAUUAUCCAGCAUCUACAGAUAGGCAGAGUCUUGCUCUAUUGCCCAGGCUGGAGUGCAGUAGCAUGACCACAGCUCACUGAAGCCUCAACCUCCCAGGCUCAAGUGAUUCUCCAACCUCAGCCCUCCAAGUAGCUGGGACUACAGGUGCAUGCCACCACACCUGGCUAAUUUUUGUACAUUUUUCUGUAGAGAUGGCAGGGGGGUCUCACUACAUUGCCCAGGCUGAUGUUGAAAUCCUGGGCUCAGCCCGUCCUCUUGUCUUGACAUCCCAAAGUGCUGGGAUUACACGUGUGAGCUACUGUUGCCCAGCCUUAUUUAUUUGAAAUUACUUGAAAUUUAUUUUGGAAUUAAGUCAGGACUCCUACUGCCCUCCAUAAUAAUAAUAAAAAAUGUAAUAUUUGUGAACUAAUAUUCAUUUAUUGAGCUUUUAUUACCUUAUUUUGUUGACUGUAAGACAAACUUUUUUUUGUAUUUUAGCCUGCCCUACCUCUUUGAAAUUACUUUUGGCCAGGUGACACUUAGGAUGUAGUUUGUCAUUGCCUGCCCAUAUCUGAAGUUAGUCAUGGUUGUUUAUAUUAUCUUCAUUUCUUAUGAUCUUUGUCCUUGAAAAACUGCACAUCAUAAUUUAUUGGGCCAUUUUCAGCUUUUUUUAAAAAUAUGAAACAGAAUAGAAAAUAUUAGGCUGUACCAAAAUAGCAAGACUAAUGCUUUUGGGAAACAUUUCAUUUUUUUUUUUUUUUUGGUGUUUUGUUUUGUUUUGUUUUGUUUUUGAGACAGAGUCUCACUCUGUCGCCCAGGCUGGAGUGUAGUGGCGAAAUCUCGGCUCACUGCAAGCUCCGCCUCUCGGGUUCACGCCAUUCUCCUUGCCUCAGCCUCCCGAGUAGCUGGGACUACAGGUGCCCACCACCACACCCGGCUAAUUUUUUGUAUUUUUUAGUAGAGACCAUGUGUCACCAUAUUAGCCAGGAUGGUCUCGAUCUCCUGACCUUGUGAUCCACCCGCCUUGGCCUCCCAAAGUUCUGAGAUUACAGGUGUGAGCCACCACACCCAGCCUCAUUUGUUUAUAUGUAUAUGUAUAGAAAGAUUUAUAUGAGGGUGCUAAUUUUGAUGUAAACUGUUCUUUCUUUGGUGUACUGUCAAAAAGUUCAUCAGCCACCAUUAUCUGGAGAUUAGUAAAGCUAAAGGCAAUUCCGGAAGAUUUUAACUACCACUGAAAAGAAAGGGCAAAUCGACUGGUGCUGAAAAUGUGAUAAAAAUUCAGAUUUCUAGGCCAGGUGCAGUGGCUCAUGCUUAUAAUCCCAAUACUUUGGGAGGCCGAGGAUCAUUCGAGGUCAGGAGUUUGAGAUCAGCCUGGGCAACAUAGCAAGACCCUUAUCUCUAAAAAAUAAUAAAAUAAGAAGUUUAGAUUUCUAUGCACCACCUACUUGUAUCUUCUUAGACUCUUCACUUUCUCUUUCUUUUUUUUUUUUUUUUUUAUUAAUUUAUUCCUGGCCCUUUUCUGUGAGAACUCGUUUUCUUUCUGUUUCUAUUCACACUUUCCUCUUGCCCACUUGUCUACCUGCUGCUGUUCCAAAGUUCUAGAGUCUCUGAUUGGCAGAAACACCCAUGGGAGUUGCUGAUACUUGGCCAAAUUUUCUUUUAAUGUCGACUUUACACUUACUACUUGUCCCAACCUUCCUUUGUAGAAAGCACACCCUAGCUGGGCGUGGUGUUGCAGGCCUGUAGUUGUAGCUACUCGGGAGACUGAGGUGGGAAGAUCUGUUGAGGCCAGGAAUUUGAGGCUAUAAUGUGCUGGCUUUUUAAUUUCAUUAUUUAUUUACUUGGAGAUGGGGGUGUGUCUUCAUAUGUUGCCCAGGCUGUGCUCAAGGGAUUCUCCCACCUCAGCCUCCUGAGUAGCUAGGACUUCAGGCACAUACCACUGCUCCUGGCUGAGGGUAUGGUGUGGUAUGAUCAAACCUGUAAAUACCUACUGCACUCCAGCCUGUGCAACACAGUGAGAUCCCAACUCUAAAUAUAUGUAUAUGUAUAUACACACACACACACACACACACACACACACUCUCUCUCUCUCUCUCUCACUGUGUUGAGAGUCCAACUCUAAAUGUAUAUAUGUGAAGCUUAUCCAGUAAAUGGAAACAGAACCCCUUGACAUCCAGAACGUACAGUUGACUGCAUUGUGUAUAAAAUUGUUGUUCCCCAAAUUGCUUACCCUAAGCCCAUUUGGACGAUAAUUCUUUGCUGUAUGGUUAUAGUGGCUAGCUUUCAUUUUCUGUUCCGAACCACUAUACUGCAUUUACUUUGCCUUGUUGAAUACCUAUCAAUUUUGUAUCUUAAAAAUGUUUGUUUUCCUUCCAAUGACUGAAAGUAUGUAAAAAUCACCUGGCAAUAGAUUUUAAUUUGGUUUUUGAGAGCAUUCGAUCAAUUUGUCCUUUUUAAUUUAUAUUUAAGAUCUCCCAAUAUUUUGAAUGUUUGACAUUUAUCUAUAGCCCUUGUGUGAUAUUUUGAUAUGAUUUCAGCAAUAAAGGAAGUAUUCACUGUACUGUAAUCCUUUGUAAAAUA
Symphalangus syndactylus (siamang) is the source of this 3311-nucleotide RNA transcript. It is a transcript of the gene named mitochondrial ribosomal protein S28, with no coding region annotated. The record is from RefSeq and is a predicted model, not a curated record. NCBI's taxonomy places the organism in Eukaryota, Metazoa, Chordata, Mammalia, Primates, Hylobatidae.